This is a long non-coding RNA of Drosophila guanche, 443 nucleotides long. RefSeq lists it as uncharacterized. The transcript has 2 exons. The record is from RefSeq and is a predicted model, not a curated record. Lineage: Eukaryota; Metazoa; Arthropoda; Insecta; Diptera; Drosophilidae.
GUAUGUACGAGUAUACAUGUGUAUGAAGUGUAUUGCAUAAGUUCGAUUUAUUUUGUUGGUAACAAAAGAGGAAAAACCAAUGCAAAAUUUAAACCCAAAACUAAUGAUAUUCAAAGCCAAUGACGAGAAACAACAACAAUAAAUGUGCUGAUGUGCUGAAAGCCGCAAAGAGAACGACAACCAGAUGGAAACAAUUUGAUUCCUUUCAAAUGUUUAGCUAACACAAUACCAACAAUAAUCGAUGGAAAAUUCAUUGUAAAAAAGUAUAAAAGCAACACGUAAUGGGGUGGCAGAUGAACAAUUGCUAAAACGAACAGUUACGAUCUGUGUAAAUGUGAACAUAAUGAGCAAAAAACGAUAUAGCAGGUAUACAAUAAUGGCCGAAUGAAACCAAAACUAAAGUAAUGAACAACUUACCGCAAGGCGACAAAGCAAAUACAAAA